GCCUUGAUUGUAUAGUGGUUAGUAGAUUGCGUUGUGGCCGCAGUAACCCAGGUUCGAUUCCUGGUCACGGCA
Molecule: transfer RNA, 72 nt
Filed under: Nematostella vectensis (starlet sea anemone)
Lineage: Eukaryota; Metazoa; Cnidaria; Anthozoa; Actiniaria; Edwardsiidae
Rfam family: tRNA
About the family: Transfer RNA (tRNA) molecules are approximately 80 nucleotides in length. Their secondary structure includes four short double-helical elements and three loops (D, anti-codon, and T loops).
Source: Rfam by way of RNAcentral